This 253-nucleotide ribosomal RNA is filed under the name uncultured bacterium. RNAcentral describes it as "partial 16S ribosomal RNA". It matches the Rfam family "Bacterial small subunit ribosomal RNA", at positions 524 to 776 of the family's 1533-position model. The record is from RNAcentral.
UACGUAGGGUGCGAGCGUUAAUCGGAAUUACUGGGCGUAAAGCGUGCGCAGGCGGUUAUGCAAGACAGAUGGGAAAUCCCCGGGCUCAACCUGGGACCUGCAUUUGUGACUGCAUAGCGAGAGUACGGUAGAGGGGGAUGGAAUUCCGCGUGUAGCAGUGAAAUGCGUAGAUAUGCGGAGGAACACCGAUGGCGAAGGCAAUCCCCUGGACCUGUACUGACGCUCAUGCACGAAAGCGUGGGGAGCAAACAGG